RNAcentral lists this long non-coding RNA (9601 nucleotides) under Gossypium raimondii (Peruvian cotton). Its description in RNAcentral is "long non-coding RNA (GRAI_LNC010385)". The stretch from base 3786 to 3872 matches the Rfam family "MIR7486 microRNA precursor family". The record is from RNAcentral. Lineage: Eukaryota; Viridiplantae; Streptophyta; Magnoliopsida; Malvales; Malvaceae.
AGAAGCAGGCAAGGCAAAUCUGAAUCCAGCUUCUUGGAAGACAAUCCAGCAGCAUUAAGAAUCUUCAGAAACCUGAUACCUUUCACAAAUUCAGUGUCAGAAAGAUGUAGUAAAUGCUUUUUUUUUUUUAAUACCCAAAAAGAAAAGCUAUUGUUACUAAUGGCUUUUCGCAGCCAAAAGUAGAGUGAUAAUUUGUAUACCCAUGUUUUGUUUAUGUAUUUUUAUAGUGUUUUAAAGAAGUUUUAGAUUCAUAUAAAGUUAUAAACUUUCUUUGUCUUGCAUAAGUUGUUGCAGUAAUUCAAGAGCCAAAGACUUGAAUUUCAUCAGCUUUGUCCGAAGAACCAAUCUUAUCAAUGCCUUAUUUGGCAAUUUCUUUUUGUUUUUGAGAAAUAAUAAUUUCAUUAAAUCAAAACAGCAAUAAUUAAUUGGGAAGGGCAUAUAGAGAUACAAGUUUUAAUUAAUUUAUGUAGGGGGAGGGGGAAUAUAGGGAUAGGUAGGGGGAGAGGGUAUAUAGGGAUAGGAACGUUAUUAAAGCAUUUUUGCAUUGUGCCGUCUUUGCAUUACAUGCCUUCUCCUCGACUGAAUCAUUAUUGCAUUUAUGUCAUAUAGAGUCCAUUUAGCACACAUCUUAUUUAAUAGCCGAUGCCUUCUAUUCAAUCCUUGAGAAAAGUUAUUUCACAUUAUUAAUUACCUUAUCUGUCUAUUUCGGUUGGUUUCAGCUUUACAAUUGAAACCUUCGACUAUAAAUACAGCUCAAGUUUGGGCUCAAAACAGGGCAAUAUGGAUUCCUUUAUCUACAGUAUUCUUAUCAUCUCAAUCCUAGCUUUUAUUAUUAUAAGACUAAUCCUCUUUUUUUCUUCUAAAUCCUGCAAUGGAGUCCCUCAGAAGAGGCUAUUGCUAGGGAUGUUAUCGUUAUUGUUUCCGAACCUGGACUUAAGCGUUCACGAUAGAACUGCUGAAAUGCUUGAAAGAAGCAAGGGAACAAUACACAUCCAUCAAUAUUCAUGGUUCACUGGCACCAAAGUCCUGCUCACCAGUGACCCUGCAAACGUCUGCCAUGUACUAAGCACUAACUUUUCCAACUACCCCAAGGGGUCGAAAUGGAGAGAACACGUAGAUGUUCUUGGAGACACCCUUUUCAGUGCCGAUUUUAAAGAGUGGGAGAAAGAAAGAAAACUGGUACGUUCUCUCACUAGUUACCACAAAUUCCAUCAGGCCACCACCAAGAUUGUUUGGGACAGAAUACAGACAGGGCUCAUCCCUGUGCUUCAACAUGCUUCGAAACUGGCUCUACUGGUUGACCUCCAAGAUUUGUUUCAAAAACUCAUCCUUGACAUUGCUUGGAUGAUAUCCAUCGGCUACAAUCCCAACUUUCUGGGGAUCGAGUUUCGGAAAGAUCCGUUCUCCGUGGCUUUAGAAGAUGCAUGUGAAGCGGCUUUUUCUCGUUUUCUAAUGCCCCAUAGUUUGUGGAAGUUACAUAGGUGGCUAGGAAUUGGCAAAGAAAAGAAACUAAAACAUGCUUGGGAAACCAUUGAUCGUGUCUUUGCAGAUUGCAUAUCUAAGAAGCAAGAAGAAUCAGCCAAAGGGGAAGAUCAUGAGGAGGGCUGCAAUUUCGAAGGUGUUUACUGCGUUACCGGGGAGGAUAAGGCCUUCAGAUCAGCUGCUACUCGUAAAGGGUUGAGGGACAACAUUGUCAGUUUCAUAUUUGCCACACAAGACACAACUAGUUCAGUUCUUACAUGGUUCUUCUACAGUGUUGCCAAGCAUCCAUCUGUUGAAGCUAAAAUCAGAGAUGAAAUAUUUAAAAAUAACCCACAAGAACUGAACAAAUUGGUGUAUCUACAUGCAGCAUUAUGCGAAACAUUGAGACUGUUCCCUCCAGGACCAGUGCUGUCAAGAAUAGCUGUUGAACCUGACACCCUCCCGAGCGGCCAUAGAAUCAAUGGGAACACGAAUGUUGUGAUCGCAGUACACGCAAUGGGAAGGAUGACAUCGAUAUGGGGAGACGAUUGUCAUGAAUUCAAGCCAGAGAGAUGGAUCACCGAGCAAGGAGAGAUUAAACGCGUGUCACAUUAUCAGUUUCCGGCAUUCAGUGCAGGGCCGAGGAUUUGUCUAGGGAAGAAGUUAGCAUUUAUGAUGAUGAAGGCAACCGCAGCAACGAUUAUCUAUAACUACGAUAUUGAGAUACAGGUGGAUCACCCAGCUGAACCCAAGAGUAGCGUUGUCUUCCAUAUGAAGCGUGGACUGAUGGCUAGGAUCAACAGUAGAGGAACUUGAUUUAUUUCACGCAUGCAAGCUUAUCUCUAUGUCUUUGUAGUUUGCUCGUCUUUGAUACAUCGUAAGUAGCUUUUCUUUUAAAUAAUGAUCAUGCAGGUUGAAAUAAAUAAAUAAGGAAAAUAAAGCCUUAUUAUUAUUAUUAUUAUUAUUAGCAAAUAUUUUAUUAUUAUUACUAUAAAUAAAGCAAGUUAAUUUUACAAAACCAAAAAUUUUAGUCUAAAUGAAAAUUAUUCAAAUUUCAUUCACCAAAUAAAGAAUGCUAUUAAUGUUAGUUAGAAUGAAAAUUUUGUUUUCAACUUAUACGGAUGAUCUUAAUUUCCAAUGUUUCUCGCAUUGCACAGUUGACAAAUAAUUAAAGCUUUUAAAUUAAUUUUUUAGGAUACGACUUUAACUCAACACUCAUUAUAGCUUCUUUAAUUAAAAUUUUUAAACAUGUUUUAGUUGGACAGAUUUGGCACUUUCAUUUUAUUAUUCUUUAAACUCUCUCGCUUACUUACUCAAGGUAGUGUAACAAAUAAUUAUUGGUUUUAUAUAAAUUUUAACUUUUGAAUUGUAUUCAUGUUACAUAUUAAUUAAUUUAUUAUAGUGUGUUUGUGUCCUUCUUAAUUCAUUCAUAUUUUUUAUAUUUUUUUUAUAAUAAUUUAAUUUUAAUUUUAUAUUCAUUUAUUUAAAUUUUAAAAAAUCAAUAUAUAUAUUAUGUUAAAAGUUUCUUAGAUUUUUUUAUGAAAAAGAAAUUAAAACGAAUGAAUUUAGACACAAGGGUAGAUCUAGGAGCUGGUAGGAUUUAAGUCCUCUAAAAUGAAAAAUUUUCCAUUUAGGCUAUUUAUAGUUUAUAAGAUUUUAAAUUAAUAAUGGUAAAAUUAGAUCUAAAAUAAUAAUUUAAUUUAAUCUUUUAAAAAUUAUAAAUAUAUAGGCUAUUAAAAUGACAAAAUUACAUUUUUACUAUUAUAAAAAUAUAUAAUUUAAUUUUGACCCUUAAAAAAAUGUCUAAAUUUGCCCCUAUCCCUAAGUCGUAUUUCUGGAUCCACCACUUAUUAGACAUGUUUAUAUAUAUUUAUAUAUAUAAAUUCUUAUGUACAAUUUUUUAAGUAAAUAAUCCACAUGCUAUAUUCAUAACUAGAGAAAAGCAUCACAACAAACAUAAACUUUUUUACGUCAAUAAUACAAAAAAAAUUACGAAAAUAGUGUAAAAAGUAUAUUAUUUACAAGAAUAAAUCAUUGUAAAUGUGUCGAGGAAUGUCACCUGUAAAAUAUAUUUUAAUAAAAAUAAAUAAAAUAAUAUUAUUUUAAUUUAAAAAAGGGUGUCGUCAAACAAAGAGUCGCGCCCAUUUUUCACAUGCACUUUUACUUUUUCUUUUUAACAACCGGUCAAUUUAUCAUUAAAAGCCUAUUUUUUUUAAAUUUAUCGAAAUAGGCCCGGUAUUUUAUUAUUUACCGGAAUGGGCCCUUUUUCCCUAAAGUGCGUCCACGUCAGCGCGAAGUCAAGGGACGUGUCAGCAAAUCGCGUCCACGUCAGCGCGCUUUGCUGACGUGGCAACAAAUCACGUCCACGUAAGCGCGAUUUGUGUCCAUGUCAGCAAAGCGCUUUGACGUGGACGCGUUUUGAUGCCACGUAGCGCGCCUCUGGAGACACGAUUUCCCCGCACGCGAACAGUGCAACGGUAAAAAAAAAAAUCUAUAAAUACCCCCACCCUUUAUUUUUUUUCACAAACUAAUCCUCUCUCAAUUAUUUUCUCAAUUUCCUCUCAAUUUGCUCUCCAAUUCCUUCCAAAUUUCUCUCAAAUCCAUAUUUAAUCUCAAUUUACUCUUAAAUUUCUCUUAAAUCCCUAUUUUUAAAUAAUUUUAAAAAAAAUUAUUUUUUUAAUUUUUUUAAAUUGUAAAAAUUUGUACAAUUUCAGCAAUGGCCGGAGAAUUGACUCGUCUUGAUAAGCAGCAAAUAUCCGUCGAACAAAUGAAAAUGGUAAGUGUUAAAUUUAAUUUUUAAAUAUUAUUUAAGAUUUUUUUAUUUAUGCAUUUUUAGAUAAUUAUUAAUUUAUUAUUUGUUAUAAAAGUCUGUAGAUCGGAUAUUGGAAUGCUAUAUCCGAAAUAUGCAUGCUCCUCCAUCACUGUUGGUAGAGAACUACCUGUGAGAAGCGGGUUUUUGGCACGUGGACGCGACUUCAGAAAGUCUUCUGAUAAAGCAUCCUACUUUGAUUUUAUCUUAAAAACUCAUAAACAUGAAACGUAAUCUAAUUUUGAAUAAAUUAUAAUUAAUUUAAUUAGGAAACUCUAAACCCUAAUCCCUUAUUUGUUUACUUUUUUCUCCAAAACCCUAAAAAUCCUAAAAAUCCUAAACCCUAACCCUAAAAACCAAAAACCUAACGUGGGAAAAACGGGGAAAACGCGUCCCCAGGGGCGCGCUUUGCUGACGUUGCAGCAAAUCACGCCCACGUAAGUGCGAUUUGUGUCCACAUCAGCAAAACGCGUUGACGUGGACACGAUUUGCUGACACGUCCCCUGACUUCGCGCCAACGUGGACGCGCUUUAGGGGAAAAGGGCCCAUUCCGGUAAAUAAUAAAAUACCGGACCCAUUUCGGUAAAUUUUUAAAAAAAAAUGGCUUUUUUUGGUAUUUUGCCCUUAACAACUUUUAUAUUUAUAUUUUAUAUUUUAUAUAUUAAUAAAUAAAAGGCUAAGUUUUUUAUUUUCAUAGUUUUAUAAUAUUUUAUAAUUAUAAAAAUUUUGAAUAUGAAGAAUAAUGAUUAAAUUGGUUGACUGAGUUUUAACUCGAUUAAUAUCAACAUUAUUGUCAGAGCAGGAGGAUAUGAGUUCAAGCGCAUUAAAGUGCAUUUAUCCUCCUAUUUACAAGUGGGAAGAGAUUGUAUGUAGUUCUAGGCAUUGUAUAAAAAAAAGAAUAAUGACCAAAUUGAUAAUUUUUUGGUAAAAUUGACAUAAAAACAUUAGGUUAAGCUACCUAAAUAGUCAUUCAAUUUUUUUUUAGUGAGUUCCUAUUUUGGUCACCGGAAUUUUUUUUGUUAAUUUCAUCACUCCCGUUAAGUGAAUUUCCAAUUCUACUCACUCCACCAUUAAGAUGUAUUUGGUUACUAAACAGAAUGUCGAUGUGGCCUUCUUUUGAUUGGUAUAAUAACAAAGUUACCCCCUAAUAUUUUACACAUUCUAUCAAGUUGAUUCUAUUUCUAAAAAAUUCAAUAAAUUUCACCCUCAAAGUUUAUGCAUUAUCAACUCGAUCAUUAUUGUAAAUUUUCAAAAACUUAUAAUUAUAAAAUAUUUUAAAAAAUAACACAAACCAACCAUUUUUUUUAUAAAUAUUAAAAAAUUCGAUGAUCAAAACAGGAACUCGCUAAAAAUACUUAAUUGAUUAUUUAGGUAAUUUACCCUAACAUUUUUAUGUCAUUUUUAUCAAAAAAUUUAUCAAUUUGGUUAUUAUUUUAAAUAUUUAAACUUUUAUAAUUAUAAAAUAUUAAAAAAUUAUAUAAUUAUUAGGUCAGUCUCAUAACCUUCCUUGUUUGUGGGAGGUGAUUGCAAUGAAAUUUUAUAUUCUUUUGAAAAGAAAAAGGGGCUUCCUAGAGAGGAAAGGUGAAUGGAGGCUUUUAGAGAAGCUCUGAGUGAUUGUUGAUUGAUGGAUGUUAGAUAUUGUGGACUGUGGUUUACUUAGGAGAAAGGUAAUCUCCCAAAAACUAAUAUUAGGGAAAGAUUAGACAAAAGGUAGCUAAUAAAGGUUGGAUGAUUCUGUUUCCCAAUGCACAAGUACGUCAUCUCCCACAUUCGUUCUCUAACCAUUGUCCACUUCUUAUUCAGACAGAGAUUGACGUAGGUAAUCCUCGAUUUAAAUGUUUUCAGUUCGAGUCUUGGUGGGUUUUGGAGGAGACUUUUGUACUAAGAGUUAGGGACCUUUUGGGGGAGGGUGACGAAGAUGUUCUUACUAAAUUAGACAGGGUUCGGGAAGCUUUGGACAAGUGGGCGCAAGAGAUUAGAUGUAAGAACGGAGGGGUGAAAAAGGAGUUGUCUAGGAAGCUGGAAGUGCUAUUAGAAGAAGAUAAGAUGAUGACAAUCUUGCAGAGUUGAUUGAUACUAAAGUUUAGUUAAACUUAGAGAUUGAUAAGGAUGAAUUUUUUUUGGGAACAGAAGGCAAGGGAAAACUGGCUGAGAUUGGGGAGGAUAAGAAUACAACUUUCUUUCAUAACUUUGCUUCCCAAAGGGGGAAAAAUAGAAUAAAUGGAUUGCAAGGGGAGGACGGACGGAUAGUGAGGGGGAGGUGGAGAUGGAAAUUAUCGCAAGGAAUUAUUUUCAAUCUCUCUUUGAAUCAAAGGGGAUAGGGGAGAUGAACUAUAUUUUUUCUAGGGUAAGACAUUGUAUCUCUGAUGAGUCUAAUGUUUUGCUGAUAGCGCCUUAUACUAGGAAAGAGAUCUUGGAGGCUUUGAAUGGCAUGGGUCCUAUGAAGGCAUCUGGCAAUGAUGGCUUUCCGACAAUAUUCUUUCAGAGAUGCUGGCAUAUUAUUGGUAAGGAUAUUACUUCAUACUGUUUGGAGAUCCUCAACGAGUGUAAAACCUUAGCUCCUUUAAACCUUACAAAUAUUGUGCUUAUUCCUAAAAUUCCUUUCCCGUUGAAUUUAGUGAACUUUGGGCCUAUUAGUUUAUGCACGUUUCUUUAUAAGAUGAUUGCUAAAAUGAUAACUAAUCGAUUCCAAAGGGUUUUGGAGGAUUGCAUUAAUGAGGCCCAAAGUGCUUUUAUGCCAGGGCGGUUAAUAUCUGAUAAUAUCCUAUUGGCCUAUGAAAUUUUGCAUUCCUUUCAUAAAAAAAGGGUGGGGGAAGAAGGGCUUUAUGGCUCAUAAACUUGAAAUGACUAUGGUAUUUGAUCUAGUAGAAUGGGGUUUCGUGAAAUAAAUAAUGGAGCGAAUGGGUUUUGCAAGCAAUUGGGUAGAUAUUAUUAUGAGAUGUAUCUCUUCGGUCUCUUAUUCUGUGGUAUUGAAUGGGGAGGUGGGGGAGAGGAUUGUGCCAAGUAGAGUACUUCGACAAGGUAACCCUUUAAGCACUUUUCUUUUUCAAAUUUGUAGUGAAGGUUUAUCUACUCUCAUGAGGCUAGCUUUAGGUGAAGGGUUGAUUAAGGGUGUAAAGGCUAGUAAAAAGGGAUUAGAAAUUACGCACCUCCUAUUUACUGAUGAUUGUGUACUAUUUGGUGAAGUUAGCGAUAGAGGGGCCAAUGCUAUAAAACAAAUAUUGAUGGAAUAUGAAUUUUGUUCUAGUCAGUGUAUCAAUUAUGACAAGUUUGCUACGUACUUUAAUUCGAAUGUGUUAGAAGACAAUCAGAAUCGGGUGUCAAGUUUAUUGGGGAGUUCAAUUAUCAAAUGAGAUUGAAAGAUAUUUGGGUCUUCCAAAUAUGGUGGGUAGGAAAAAGAGAGUAUCAUUCCAAGCUUUAAAAGAUCAAGUGGAAAAGAGGAUAGAUAAUUGGAGCAUAAGGUUGUUGUCGCAAGGUGGGAAGGAAGUGUUUAUUAAAGCAUUUUUGCAGGCCAUUCCAUCAUACACAAUGUCAUGUUUCUUGUUGCCUAAGAUGCUUUGUAAGGAAUCGAAAGUAUUUUAGUGCGAUUUUGGUGGCAAAAAAGUCACAGAUGGAAGGGUAUCCAUUGGUGUCAAUGGGCGAAAUUGUGUGAGCUUAAAGAGUAUGGUGGGUUGGGUUUUCGUUGUUUAUCCUCUUUAGUAUUGCCUUAUUAGCCAAGCAGGGUUGACAUCUUAUUAAUAAUCCAGAUUCUUUGUUGAAUCAUGUACUAAAAGCUAAAUACUACCCGAGUUGUGAUUUUUUGGAGGCUGGACUAGGAAGUUUACCUUCUUUUACCUGGCUUAGUAUGUUGUCAAUGAAGGGGCUACUCCAUGAGGGCCUUGGAUAGCGGGUAGGUAGAAGGGACCAAAUUUUAAUCCGAGAGGACACUUGGCUAGUUGGGGCAGUAAAUUAAAAAGUUGGUGGGAAAAUUAGUGAUGACAUUUUAAUUAAAGUUUAUGACUUGAUCGAUCAUUCUUGUAGAAAAUGGAAUGGGGGUUUUAUUAGAAGUACCUUUGAGGAGAGUGAUACAGAUAAAAUUUUGCGGAUUCCGUUGGCUAGAAUAAAGCAUGAGGACUUGGUUGUAUGGAGGGGGAACCUUCAAGAUCAUUUCUGAUGAGGAGUGCAUACAAAUUGCUUCUUAAUAGUAAUAGAGAUUCUGAAUCUACAGUGCUCUUAAAUGCCACAAAAGGCUUAUACAAGAAAUUAUGGAAUCUAAAUUUAACUACAAAACAGAAAGUCAAGUUUGGAAAAUCUUAUGGAACUAUUUACCUAUUUUAGCUAAUCUCUAUAGCAGACGUUUGGGUGUUCUUUUAGUCUGUCUUAGGUAUGGAGUUGGCCCAGAAUCAAUUGAUCAUGCUUUCCAGAAAUGUCCUGUAUCAGAAAAGAUGUGGAGUGAACUUAAUCUAUCUUAGAUAACAUCUCAAUAUUAGUUAAAUAUUCAAGAAUGGAUGACCUGGGUUUUCUAGUUUGGUAAUUAUGACGAUUGCACGUUGGCUAGUUGUGCGUUGUGGGUAAUCUGGAACGAAUGGAAUAAAGCCUUCCAUGAGGGGAUUAAAAACUCAGGACAGUGGGCAGCUGAGUUCACAAAAAAUUAUUUGCGCAAACUUGAUUGGUUAAUAGAUUGGGAACUUACCAAAAACUGUGUCAGUUUAGAACGGGUUCCUCCAGCAGAUCCUUUUAUUAGGAUAAACUUCGACACUACUUUUGACCAAAAGGAGUUUAGAUCAAGUUCAGGUGUUAUUGUCAAAAAUGAAAGAGGGGAGGUUCUACUUACCAAGUCAACGUUGCAUGGGGAGGUUGCGUCCUCUUUUGUUGCGGAGACACUAGCAUGCUCGCAGGCGGUCGAGGUGGGUCAGAGUUUGGGAGUUGACAUGGUUAAAGUCAAAAGAGAUUCAUUAGUAGUCAUUAGAAAACGUAAUUCUAAAGAAAAUGACAGAUCUAAAAUUAGAAAUAUUAUCAAAGAUAUCCAUCAGAACAAAUGAGACUUCUAUUAGAUAUGUUUGAAUAAGUCUCCAAUUGUUACUGGAGGUUGUUUGCUAUUUUCUUGUUUCUAGUUGUUAGCUACUUCCUUAUUCUUAGUUGAGUAGUUGCUAAAAACCAGCGAAGUAUUUUACUGCAAUUUGUUAAUAAGCUUGACUAUAUAUAUGUGUCAAGCACAUGAAUAAAAAGUAGUAGUACUUUCAAUCAAAUAUUUUAACACCUGUUUUUUCUUUCUAACAUUCUGGUAUCCGAGCCAGGUUCAGGCCUGGUAAAGCAUAGCCGCAGCUAGCUAAAACUAAAAGAGAAAGAGAG